Molecule: ribosomal RNA, 437 nt
Filed under: uncultured bacterium
Lineage: Bacteria
Description: partial 16S ribosomal RNA
Rfam family: Bacterial small subunit ribosomal RNA
Source: RNAcentral
AGCGAACGCUGGCGGCAGGCUUAACACAUGCAAGUCGAGCGGGCAUCCUUGUGGUGUCAGCGGCAGACGGGUGAGUAACGCGUGGGAACGUGCCCUUCGUUUCGGAAUAACUCAGGGAAACUUGAGCUAAUACCGGAUACGUGCGAGAGCAGAAAGGUGUAUCUGCCGAAGGAUCGGCCCGCGUCUGAUUAGCUAGUUGGUGAGGUUAUGGCUCACCAAGGCGACGAUCAGUAGCUGGUCUGAGAGGAUGAUCAGCCACACUGGGAGUGAGACACGGCCCAGACUCCUACGGGAGGCAGCAGUGGGGAAUAUUGGACAAUGGGGGCAACCCUGAUCCAGCCAUGCCGCGUGAGUGAUGACGGCCUUAGGGUUGUAAAGCUCUUUUCUUCGGGACGAUAAUGACGGUACCGGAGGAAUAAGCCCCGGCUAACUUCGUG